Molecule: long non-coding RNA, 414 nt
Filed under: Mustela putorius furo (domestic ferret)
Lineage: Eukaryota; Metazoa; Chordata; Mammalia; Carnivora; Mustelidae
Description: lncRNA (ENSMPUG00000026178.1)
Source: RNAcentral
CCCACCCCCGUGGGUGCAACCACCGGUUGUAACAGCUGGAAGCCUGGGAACUUCGUUGUCUAGAAGUUCUACCAGGAGUUUCCACUUUAGGUUCCACGAACCAGAAACACCUGCUUGAGUCUUGGAGGCAAGAAAAGCAGCAGAAGCCACAUUACUGCUACUCCGGCAUCGGUGGGCAUACGUCCCGGCAUCAGCAGGGAUCCUACCCGGGCCUCUGGGCAUUUUCCUAUCUCACCUUGCACAGAGUGGUCCCGCCCGGGGGGUUUCACAGCAUCCUCAGCAUCACCUGGGGACUUGCAGCAAUGCCAGUUCUUAGACCACUCUCCAGUCUUACGCAUUCAGAAGCUGCAGAGUAAAGAAGAGCUAUCCCGGCUGAUGUGGGCAGACUUCAUCCAAACAGCUGGAAGGCCUUAA